GACGAACGCUGGCGGCGUGCCUAACACAUGCAAGUGGAGCGACGAACCAGGGCUUGCCCUGGGGCCAAGCCGCGAACGGGUGAGUAACACGUGGGUAACCUGCCCCGAUGACCGGGACAACCCGAGGAAACUCGGGCUAAUACCGGAUGUGGUGUACACACAUCAGUGUGUCCACUAAAGGAAGCUUCGGCCUCCACAUUGGGAUGGGCCCGCGGCCCAUUAGCUUGUUGGUGGGGUAAUGGCCACCAAGGCAACGAUGGGUAGCUGGUCUGAGAGGACGAUCAGCCACACUGGGACUGAGACACGGCCCAGACUCCUACGGGAGGCAGCAGUGGGGAAUCUUGCGCAAUGCGCGAAAGCGUGACGCAGCAACGCCGCGUGA
RNAcentral lists this ribosomal RNA (382 nucleotides) under uncultured bacterium. RNAcentral describes it as "bacterial SSU rRNA". It matches the Rfam family "Bacterial small subunit ribosomal RNA", at positions 28 to 404 of the family's 1533-position model. The record is from RNAcentral.